RNAcentral lists this ribosomal RNA (725 nucleotides) under uncultured bacterium. RNAcentral describes it as "bacterial SSU rRNA". It matches the Rfam family "Bacterial small subunit ribosomal RNA", at positions 67 to 787 of the family's 1533-position model. The record is from RNAcentral.
CGGCAGCACGGAGCUUGCUCUGGUGGCGAGUGGCGAACGGGUGAGUAAUAUAUCGGAACGUACCCUGGAGUGGGGGAUAACGUAGCGAAAGUUACGCUAAUACCGCAUACGAUCUACGGAUGAAAGUGGGGGAUCGCAAGACCUCAUGCUCGUGGAGCGGCCGAUAUCUGAUUAGCUAGUUGGUAGGGUAAAAGCCUACCAAGGCAUCGAUCAGUAGCUGGUCUGAGAGGACGACCAGCCACACUGGAACUGAGACACGGUCCAGACUCCUACGGGAGGCAGCAGUGGGGAAUUUUGGACAAUGGGCGCAAGCCUGAUCCAGCAAUGCCGCGUGAGUGAAGAAGGCCUUCGGGUUGUAAAGCUCUUUUGUCAGGGAAGAAACGGUGGGAGCUAAUAUCUUUUGCUAAUGACGGUACCUGAAGAAUAAGCACCGGCUAACUACGUGCCAGCAGCCGCGGUAAUACGUAGGGUGCAAGCGUUAAUCGGAAUUACUGGGCGUAAAGCGUGCGCAGGCGGUUUUGUAAGUCUGAUGUGAAAUCCCCGGGCUCAACCUGGGAAUUGCAUUGGAGACUGCAAGGCUAGAAUCUGGCAGAGGGGGGUAGAAUUCCACGUGUAGCAGUGAAAUGCGUAGAUAUGUGGAGGAACACCGAUGGCGAAGGCAGCCCCCUGGGUCAAGAUUGACGCUCAUGCACGAAAGCGUGGGGAGCAAACAGGAUUAGAUGCCC